AGAAGUUGAGACGAUCCCGUCCCGACGACAAUGUGCCUCCCCUCAGUCACGGCAUUACCAACCACCUUGUGUAUCCUCACAAUUUGCUUAGCAAAUUCAGGCUCCAUGAACCAACAAAGGUUCGUAACAUCAGAAAAAUAGCUCAUUGAUUGCCAUCCAGGGAUCACUAUUGUAGUCUUGUCCCCCAUUGGCUUCCAAUAUUGCUCAUACAUUGUCGGGUCACCACUACAUUAAUACCAUUAUAUAAAUCAACAUCAAAUUUUCAAAUUAAGGACAACGACCUCAGAUUCCCCAGGAGGCCAGAAUCGUCAAGAAAUCUAUCAGAGUAAGCAUUAAACAUAACCGCAGAGAGGGAAAAAGAUUGACAAACAGUAUGGAAAAGGGAACAGAAUGGAGGAAUCCUCACGUUUACUGGUUGUGCAACAGAUCAAUCAUGAACAAAAAUCUAGUUAGGACCCAAAAAGUGGAGGAACAACAUUCUAGAUCUAGACAAUUCUAAUUUCUCUCAAUGGAUCUAAAGGUGGGUUUGGUUUCCAAAGGCAAAAAACAUGCAAGAAUAACUCUUUUUACUUUUUUACAGUGUUCAUUAUUUACUUUGUUCUUAAUGGGCGGCCAAAAGUUAGAGCGUUUCCAAUUGAUUUUAGGCAACCCACGUAGCUCUUCACCCUCUGAAGAAAGUCAAAAGCAUAAAAUGGUGUUGCAUGCAAUGUGGAAUGUAGUCCACACCACUACCUUAGAUCACAAGAAGCUUUAAUGUGUACCUCAAAAUGAUGUCUCUAACAAUAAGAGUCUUUACGAUAAAAAAAAAAAAAGACCAAAACCAUGUUUUAGUAACAAACGAUAUUAUACUACUAUAGAGUUAUUUUAAGGUAUGUUAUCCCUAACCCUCUAUAUCCUUUUGCUUUUUGAGUGAAUACCCAUGAAUACCCAUUUAGGCUAAUAAAGUUCAUAUCAAUACUGAUUCUUCAAUGUCUACUCAACAUCUGAAAGACCUCUAUCUCACUAGCUUAAAUGGAAAAAAGAAGAAGAAUAAAAAGUUCUUUCAGUCAAAAAGACAAACACCAUAAUGGCAUUUCUUGGGGUCAACUUCAAAUCACCACCAUUCAUGGUGCAUGUUCUAACUUAAUCCAACAAAUUUGAAUAAUAUUUUCCUCACCAAACACACGUACUCCCCUAUAAACACGUCAUAUUGCAGCAACUUUAACUCGACAGAGUAUUAUAACAGUAAAAGCACAAGUCUCAAAGUAAAAAGAACAAAAGGGGCAAGAGUAGUUUCUAUUCUAAGUUCUAACCUUUCUAAUUCUUACCCUCGAAAGUCUCAAAUCCAAAAACAAAAGAGCUUCAGCUGUCUCUGUCUAUGUCUUCGUUUUGCAGCAACAAAAGGGGGUUGGGAUCUUCUUUCAAAAACCACUUUCUAGAGAAACUCCAUUAACUAAGCAUCCUCGUUUUAAUUUAUUAUUUAUUUGAAGAACUAACAUGUUUGUGUGCUACCACCAAAUAAAGUAAAAUAUUUUUUUAUUUUUCCAAAAUAUUACUGACAUUCCACACAAGGUUUUGCCUUUGACACCCCCAAAGCAAAGUCCACACCUAGAAAAGCUAGAAAAAGCUACUUAUACAUUGAAAUUACCCACUUACCCUUUCUCAUUAGAGGAAAAAAAAAAUGUCAAAUUGCAAAAGGAAUGACUUGUUCUCAGUGUGAGUAAUGAACUGCUCUGGAAAAAUAUGGAAAACAGUAUAUCAUAUUAGAAAUGACCAUGUCUUUCGUAACCUGAUAGUGUGUAUAGCCAUUUUAGGAACAAGUAAUUAGUGAUACAAGGCUGAAAAUAGACUACUAGAAAGAACACAAAUUUCAACUAGAUAUACUUUCCUAUCUGUGUUGAAAAAGAAAAAGAAAAGAACCAAAUGGAUUGAGAAUGAAUCAGAGAACUUACUGGUCAAGAUUAAUGACUCUAUCGGUCGCAAGAGGAGUUUGAGUUUCAGGAGCAGCCGCUGAUGGACAUGACAGAGAAGGUAAGGACAAAAAUGUCAUUUUGGCAACUUUAGCCCCUUUCUCGACCGCCAUUGAAGCUCCAUAGUGGAGCUUCUCAUUCUGAUUUACAGCUCUUAAAAUCAAACUCACAUUCAAAGCUAGAGACAGUACGAAGAAAUUCCUGAGUGAAACCACACCCAUUGUUUUUCGAAAAAAACAGAGUAUUGAAAAAGAAGAAACAGAGCAAAGAAGAAGGAAUCGAUGUGAAUGAGAAAUAAUGAAGGGAAAAGGGAGAAUAUAUAGCAAAAAAAGGAAGAUCAAAAUGCCAAAUGGAUGAAACGAUUUACAUAAGAGAUUUGAGUUUCCAAGGCAUGCAGAAUUCAGAAAUUAUGAACAUUCUCUUCUCUUGUACAGUCAAUGAAGUGAUUUUAUGACUAAAAUAUAGUUGAAUAUUGAAGUUUUUUGGACUUUAAAUAACAGUUUCGAAAACAAACCAUACCGAUUCUUCUGAACUCGUAAAACUUCAAAUUUUGAAAUCAGCUUUCGCCAUUUUCAACAAACUUUUCCCAAAAAUAGAAGUCGAAAUGGGUAUUACAGUGAAGAGAAAAACAAAAAAUUUAAAAGUUCAAAUGUUACUCAGUUUAGUCGCCAUUUUUUAAGCUUCAAAGGAACAGAAGUAAAGAGAGAGAAGUGAGAAAGCAAAAUUAGAAAAACAGAAUCGAAAAGGAUGAAGAGCAAUCUGAAGAACACAUCCGACAAAAAGAAUUUUCUUUUUUUCUUUCUCAAGAGUCAAAAAAUCCCGCCACGAUUUUCCGGGAAAUUGUGCACUCUCACUGCUCCAUACUCAUACACAAAGGAAAAGAACACACCUUUAUAUAUAUGUGUGUGUGUAUAUACUCCUCCACAUUGAACAUGGCCAUGUUUGGGUGUAGCUUAUGUUGCAUUAAAUUACAUCUUUUUCGAGAACUAAAGUAUACCCAUGUUUCAAAUUAUAAUGAUUUAGAAAAUACUUUUGAUCUUUAAUCUUAAUCUUAUUGGUAAUGAUUUAGCUUUUGAACAUUUAAUAUGUAACAAUUUCCUGGUUGAUACGAAAACUAAGAAAAUUGAAAGUAUAUGAAUUAAAUUAUAUUGAAUUGUUGCAUUAAGAAAAGUUUAGGGAAAAAGAUUAUAUAUUUGGCUCAUUAGGUAAUAGAAAUUUAAAGAUGAAAAAGUGAUUGAUUAACACGUGGUGAGUGUAAAAGGUUUGCACCUAAACUAUUUCCUAUUGUACAGCGAAAUCAUAACCACUGAAUAUCAAAAUAGGUUAACGAAAAAAGCUGCUCAAUAUUUUGUAAAACAAACGGCUCUCUAACCGAACGUGGAAUAUACGAUCAAAGUACCAUUUUGGUCAUUCAAGUUUUUUCAUUCUCUAUUCCUAUACUAAACCUUAAAUUUUGUUUAUUAAAUUAUUUUUUAAAAAUAACAACAAUUUUUAGGUUGAAAUUUUAUUUUAAACCAUAAAAACACUAAUAAUAGAAAUCACACCCAUACACGUCCAUUAAUGUCUAAAUAUACUAAAUUCAAGUUUUUUAAAAAAACACUAAAUUAGAAUUACCAAAAAUAUGAUUAAAUAAGUUCAGUAAGAAUGGACUAAAAUGAAGUUUAGUGAGAAAAAAAGUCAUUAGUUACAUUAGUGAUAGAGAAAAUUAAAGGAAUUUUAAUAAUUACAGCAUCGUUGUUAAUUUAUUAAUUAAUUUCAAAAUUGCUCUUAAAAAGAAUUAUAAAUGGUUUUCAUUAGAUCACUGUUUGAAGAAGUUUUUUCGUUACUAUUAAAUCAUCACAUAAUAAUACAUUUAUGGUAAACAAGAACGAGCAGAAAACAACGAAAAUACUAUCUUUAAAAUAAAAAGCAAAGUAAUAUGCAUUUCACCUAAUGUUACCACUUAUAUAUCAUUAAUCAUAACACAAAGUUUGACUUUCAUUAAAAUAAGCUUAUAACUAUAAUAAUAACUUUUAAUUUAAGUCCUACACACCAUAAUUUUAAUUAGGUAAACCAACAUUUGUUUAUUUUUAGUUUUUCUUAGGUAGAUAUGUAAGAAAUAGAACUUUUAAACCAAACACUAACUAGUGGAAUUACUAAUCUAUUUUUUUUUUUUUUCAAACAAAUGUCAUUAUGGGUGAGGUUAAUAAUGCAAAUAUUAUAUUGCACAAUUUCUUAAUAAUAAACUAACUUAAAUUUAGAAAAAUUGCAUCAAUGGCAAAAACAACUAAUAACACCAAUUCUUUUGCAUAUUAGACAAUAAUGUUAUGAGAGACUAUUAGACGCUAAACAUAUAGCUAUUAAAAGGUCAUCAAUUUUAAAUUUGCUAUUUUUACAAAUUUAGAAAAUAUUGUAAUCAUAGAUUCUAUUAUCAUAAUUUUUUUUGUUAUUUUUAUAAAAAUCUCGUAAAAUUAAGUUUUAUUGAAAGUACAAGUCAAUAAAACUUAUUGACAGAAUCUGAAAUUUUGUUAUUUUUGACAAUUAUAGAGUAGAAAUCAGACAAAUAAAAGUACAAAAUUUUUAAAAAAUAAUAUGAUUAUUAUUAUAAUAAAUUGAGAUCUUGCAACAUAAUCAAUAACAAAUAUUUCCCUUUCUCUCAUUUUCAUUUUGAAAUUUACAUUUGCAAGCCCAAAAACCCCCCAUUGCUUCAUCAACCUCUAAUGCCAUCUUAGCCAUUUACCAAUAUCAGAUGUCAUGACCUGAUCUGAGACAAUCUUUCAACAAAUAAAUUGUAGGUUUCUUCACGAUCCAACAUGCUAAUUCGAACAUAUUUCGAGCCAACGCCGAAAUGCUUCCCGCCACGGGUGAGAAUCUUGUGGCCUCGGAGAAAGCUCUCGCAAUCUUCAACGUUGUCUUGAUCACAUUUUAACCAUGCAAAAGCUGCAAGAAUAAUGGAACAAAACACACAGUCAAUAAUCUAAGAUUGCACAACUUUAAGUUAAAAAUAAAACAAGUAUACAAAGAUUUUGUUGUUCUUGCCAGGUUGAGUUCCCAAGUUGUUGUCAAAGAAGUUGCAAUGUGCAGGAGAAAAGUCAGGCAAACUAAAUAUGCCACUGCGUUUCACUGCCUCCCUUAGCAGCCUCCAUCGCUCGGUCAUGACGGUGUGGCUGAAAUGGAAGAAGGAUUCUGCAUACUCCGAACCACCGGCUUGUUCACAACUGUCAGAUACUACUUCGAGAACUUUGGCAGCUCGAAGCUGCGAGUCUUUGGACACACCAAUUGUAUUAAGCUCAAUGAAUUUGAUCAUUCUCUUUGCAACUUCAACAUCCUUCACAAGAGCCCACCUGAAAUUUGGAUGAAUAAUGGCAUUAGAAUUUGAAGAUGACUUCAUUUUCGCAUAGUCACGAAACUGUUCGUAGCUAACUAACCCAAUACGUAACCCAGCAUGUCCAGUACUUUUUGACACAGUGAAAAGCGACAAGUCGUUGUCAGCCGGGGUGGAUAUUGGAGUAUAUUGUGGCCAAUAAUAAGCAAGGUCGUGGACCAAUAUACCACCAGUUCGGUUCACCAUGGGAUGUCGAACAAAGCCAUCAGGAUUGUUGGGGGAGGUGACCAAUUCAAUGUAAGGCUCAUCCUUGUCAAAUACCUUCGCAUCACCAGCCCAUUUGUGGAUCCCCGACUUAACACAAUCGGUCAUUAAAGGGUAAGACUGCAAUUCAUUUGAUUAGGUUCAGUGAAUCAUUUUCUAACAUUCAUAUCAGUUCAAGAGAACAGAAACAUUUUACAAUUCAUACACGAAAGCAAUGUGUUAGUGAUUUGGAUCGGUCAAAGGCUAAGUGAAAGACCUAAUCAACUGUUAUACAACUAUGAACUUUUCCAGACUGUGCCACUUUAAUCAAAAGAACAUGUUUUAAUUCCUCGACAUUGCAAAUAAAUACAUAUAAGUUCCUGUUUUCUCAGUCCUCCCAUCAUUAAAGAAGAUAUCAGACAAUGCAUGUGGAACAACUAUUCAGAAUAAAGAAUGAACCUCCAAAACAGAAUAAACAAAUAAAAGAAACCGCUAUUGACUUUAUAAGAUUCUAAAUUAAACUAUAAUUGUUGAACAAGAAGCAAAAUACAGAAGCAAGGCAACAAACAGAAUCAAACACAACUAUGUGUCCUAUUCAAUUAAUCUCACCGAGUAGUACGGGGCUGUAGAGACCACGCUGAUUGGUUUGGAAGAAUCUUGUGGGGACAAUGCAUAGAGGGCAGCUAAGAGAAGUUGAGACGAUCCCGUCCCGACGACAAUGUGCCUCCCCUCCGUCACGGCGUUACCAACCACCUUGUGUAUCCUCACAAUUUGCUUGGCAAAUUCAGGCUCCAUGAACCAACAAAGGUUCGUAACAUCAGAAAAAUAGCUCAUUGAUUGCCAUCCAGGGAUCACUAUUGUAGUCUUGUCCCCCAUUGGCUUCCAAUAUUG
RNAcentral lists this long non-coding RNA (6387 nucleotides) under Cucumis sativus (cucumber). Its description in RNAcentral is "long non-coding RNA (CSAT_LNC000027)". The record is from RNAcentral. Lineage: Eukaryota; Viridiplantae; Streptophyta; Magnoliopsida; Cucurbitales; Cucurbitaceae.